CCUACGGGUGGCAGCAGUGAGGAAUAUUGGUCAAUGGCCGGAAGGCUGAACCAGCCAUGCCGCGUGAAGGGCAGGGACCUAGGGGCGUUAAACUUCUUUUGUGCGGGAGCAAGAAUGGUCACGUGUGGCCAGACGAGAGUACCGUACGAAUAAGCAGCGGCGAACUCCGUGCCAGCAGCCGCGGUAAUACGGGGGAUGCAAGCGUUAUCCGGAUUGAUUGGGGUUAAAGGGUGCGUAGGCGGUGAGGUAAGUCAGCGGUGAAAUGCCCCCGCUCAACGGGGUGAAGUGCCAUUGCUACUGCCUUGCUGGACUGCGGAUGCCGUGGGAGGAAUGUGUGGUGUAGCG
This 345-nucleotide ribosomal RNA is filed under the name uncultured bacterium. Its description in RNAcentral is "partial 16S ribosomal RNA". It matches the Rfam family "Bacterial small subunit ribosomal RNA", at positions 338 to 680 of the family's 1533-position model. The record is from RNAcentral.